This 30-nucleotide non-coding RNA is filed under the name Rattus norvegicus (Norway rat). Lineage: Eukaryota; Metazoa; Chordata; Mammalia; Rodentia; Muridae. The record is from RNAcentral.
GCUGCUGGAGAAAACAUUAAUCCUCUGCAA